RNAcentral lists this ribosomal RNA (393 nucleotides) under uncultured bacterium. RNAcentral's name for it is "partial 16S ribosomal RNA". It matches the Rfam family "Bacterial small subunit ribosomal RNA", at positions 523 to 918 of the family's 1533-position model. The record is from RNAcentral.
AUACGGAGGAUCCGAGCGUUAUCCGGAUUUAUUGGGUUUAAAGGGUGCGUAGGUGGUUUGAUAAGUCAGCGGUGAAAGUUUGCAGCUUAACUGUAAAAAUGCCGUUGAAACUGUCGGACUUGAGUGUAAAUGAGGUAGGCGGAAUGCGUGGUGUAGCGGUGAAAUGCAUAGAUAUCACGCAGAACUCCGAUUGCGAAGGCAGCUUACUAAGCCACAACUGACACUGAAGCACGAAAGCGUGGGGAUCAAACAGGAUUAGAUACCCUGGUAGUCCACGCAGUAAACGAUGAUUACUAGCUGUUUGCGAUACACAGUAAGCGGCACGGCGAAAGCGUUAAGUAAUCCACCUGGGGAGUACGCCGGCAACGGUGAAACUUAAAGGAAUUGACGGGG